AAUUUGAAGAGGAUUUGGAUGUCUUGGGUGCUCUCGGGUUAAAGGGACUAUUUUGUAAGGCCUUUUUAAAAACAAGUGUUGGAAGAGUGAUGUAUUUAUGGCCACAAGGUGGCGGCAACGGGUGAGAUUCCCAUUUGCGUUCGGCCGGAAAGGCUUUGUGCGUUACCCGGAAGUGGUGGCGAUUUUGAAUUUCGGCCGCCUUCACUUUGUUUUACCUGGGAAACACGCUUUUAAAAAGUACUUUUUUGUCAGUGAGUUUAGAUUGUGUAGCGUUCGGGUAAAUGUGCUGCUCGGCUUGGCUUUCCUUUUACGGGCUUCGCGAUGUGAGGGGAGGAGUUAAUUGGAGGCAGGUGCGCAGCGGAACGCCAUAAAGCCGACGCAGGUGCACAUGGGCAUGAGCAGCAAAAUGGCGAGCAGGGACGCGGCGUUUUCUCAGGCGUGCAAGCGAAUGUUUGUUUGUAACGGCGGAAUUGUUUGUUGCGGGCUUCUCAGUGGCGAGGAAGGAAAGGUUUGCUCGAGCGCGGCAUGUUUGCGCGUCACUUUGGGCUGAGCACUUGAGUUGCUUUUUACGUGAUUUUUUUUUUUUUUUUUUUUUUUAAGCUGGCCGGCUCUUCUGUGGAGUUCAUUUUUCUGUGUGAAUUUUUACCUGUAUUGUUAAUGUAUAUUGUACAUUUGCUUGAAAUUCGUAUCUUUCCUGUGAGCCCCUUCCCCAGUUGCAGUCUUUUUUUGUGAAAGGCGGUUCUUCAUCCGACGAGAGGAACUUGUACAAAAAGUUUCCAGCUCCCAACUAACGACACUUGUGUGCUUUUUGCAGGUUGUCGGAGGAGGUCAAGGGACGACGCCACUCUCAAGCGGUUUGCCCGUGUCUGAAUUUGUCCGAGGCGCCCGUGGAAAAACAAAAGUGACCAGCAGGGGGCAGAGUACUGUGGUUUGUGUUGGCUGAUUGGAGCUCCAGUUUGGGUUUCUGUGUUUUAGGAGGUCUGAUUUGUGACGCAGGCAGGCAAAGUGUUGGGCAGUCAGUGUUGUUGGCAGGGUCGUGCUCGAGGCGGUCAGGAGUCGUUUGGCCGGUCGCGGUUCAAGAUGGCGGUUUGAAAGGCGGAGGCGCACGUUGCGGGUUUUGGGGGAAGAGUCGGCAGUACUGGUCAACGCGUAAAACAUUUUGCACUGUUUUACGCCCCCUGCACCAGGGUGGUGGAGAUGCAGAAUCUGGCAACGCACCAAAGUUGCAGCAUAAAGUACUUUUUUUUUUUUGUUGUUUUUUGAGGCGGGGCAAUUAUGCAAAAAGAUGCAGUCAUCUCUUGAAUGAGAACAGUUGAACAUAAACAAUAGGGUCGGGUCCAUUUGGCCCGACAGAUGUGACAAAACGGGCUUGGAAAGAAAGAAGUUGUUUGGAAUGUCUGCUUGUCGUAGUUUGCGUGGCUCAAGUGGACGGGGAGGCCGCAAGAGGAUUUUGGAUGCGGAGCUGUGCAAGUCCUGGAGGAGGAGUCGGCAGCAUUUUGGACCCCCCCCCCCCAACCAAGUCUUUUGAGGUGUGGUGGAUUUGGGGAAGGGGGAAUACGUCCUUACACAUCCACUGGUCCUUUUUUUCUUGGCCACAAGGUGGCCAAACCAAGGUAGAAAUGCUCUGCCCCCUCCAGGUUGAAGCGCCAACGAAGGGAAGUAUCUUUCUUGCACUUGCUGUUUGUUGCCACUAAUUCACGGGGGGGGGGGGUGCACUGACUCACAUUUGUCAUUUUUGAACUGUUUUAUUUAGACUGGUACUUUUGAAUAAGUGAACUCGGUUUGGCCUUUUGAGCUGCACUCCGUUGUAUUGUUGAACAAAUGUAUUUUUUUUUUUUUUUUCCUAUUUAGGUGUGGUGGAUUGGGCAAGAACACGGAAAUUGGACAAGGGUAAAAAGUCCUGACACAACAUCGUGAACUGAUCUUCACCAAACUAAUUGACCCCCCCCCACCUCAAGAAAGAAAAGUGGGAAUGUUCCACCGCUUCAAGAUCCAACUCCGAGGGAAGUGUCUUGCGACCACUUUUGCUGUUUGUCGUCACUCACUAAUUCACGGGGGGGUGUUUGCACCGACUCACAUUCUGAUUUUUGAACAUUAAUUUGGCCCUUCUGUAGUUUCGUGUGGAAUUUCAAGCUGUCAUCCGUCCCUAUUGGUCAAUGCCAGCUUUUUGCUUUCAGGGGCAGCGGCGGAUUGGGCAAGAACACAGAAAUUGGAGAAAGAUAAGUUAUGACUAUAACUAAUACAGUACACGUGACAUGUGAGUGGCGCGUUCCCAACGUGAUUCUUCCUCGUGUUGAUGACUCGGAGCAGCGGUGGAGUGCAGGAAUGCGGCCAGGAGGAAAAAAAACGUACACGGCGACGCUGUCCAGUCGGGGUCCUCGAAGCCGCGUUCAACGUGAAAUUGUGCAGUCACGCCGACCUGAGGGAAGGAAGCUGCAAGUGGUGACCAGGAUGUGGACGCUGCAAGAGCAUUUUUGGAGGCAGGUCCUCAAGGGGGGGGCUCGAGGGGCCCCCUUUUCAGCGGUUUUGCUCGGAGGUGGAAAGCAGAACACGGGACUGACUCGACGACUGCAAUGUCGAACUCCCUCGGCGGCUUCUGCGGCAGACGCAGGAAGUGGACCUUCCGCUGGGCCUUUUUCAGGUCGGGAGCGAUUUUAAACUCCCAGGACGUUGAAGGUCCCCCACGGCGAACGCACGGCAGCUGGGACGAAGGACGCCUCUGCCUCACGAAGUCCACAAUCUUUUCUCCGCUC
Syngnathoides biaculeatus (alligator pipefish) is the source of this 2753-nucleotide long non-coding RNA. RefSeq lists it as uncharacterized. The transcript is spliced from 3 exons. Lineage: Eukaryota; Metazoa; Chordata; Actinopteri; Syngnathiformes; Syngnathidae. The record is from RefSeq and is a predicted model, not a curated record.